RNAcentral lists this ribosomal RNA (559 nucleotides) under Zabkattus richardsi. Its description in RNAcentral is "partial 16S ribosomal RNA". The record is from RNAcentral. Lineage: Eukaryota; Metazoa; Arthropoda; Arachnida; Araneae; Salticidae.
UUAAUAGUAAAAUYUGCUCAAUGAUUUUAAAUAGCCGCAUACGUGCUAAGGUAGCAUAAUAAUUUGUCUUUUAAAUAAGGACUAGAACAAACGAUUUAACAUUUUAAUUUAUUUUUUUAUCUAAAUAACUCAAAAUUUUCUUAAUUGUAAAAAGACAAUUAUAUAUAAAAAAGACGACCAGACCCUAUUGAACUUAACUUAAGUUAAACUGGGGAAGUUUAUUAAUUAUUAUUUUAAUUUAAAUUACAAUAAUAAAUAUCUACUUAAAGUAAUUAAUUCAGUUACCAUAGGGAUAACAGCGCAAUUAUAUUUUAAAGCUCUUAUUUAAAACUUAGAUUACGACCUCGAUGUUGAAUUAAUUACCUAUUUAAAGCAAAUUUUAAAAAAGGAAGUCUGUUCGACUUAUAAAUAAUUACAUGAUUUGAGUUCAGACCGGUGUAAGCCAGGUCAGUUUCUAUCUUUUAAUAAAACUUUUACAGUACGAAAGGACCUAAAAAUAUAAUAUAAUUAUAUUAUUAGCAAAUAAAUGCAUUAGAAUUAGAAUCUAAUAAAACUUAUU